AUUGGCGUAUAUUAAAGUUGUUGCGGUUAAAAAGCUCGUAGUUGGAUCUGUGUAUCGGACGGUCGGUUCGCCGCUCGCGGCGUUUAACUGACCGUUUCCGGACGUCCUGCCGGUGGUCGUUGGUCCGCGAGGGCCUUCGGCCGUCACCUCCCUCCGGGCUUCUCUUAACCGGGUGGCCCGGUGGGCCGGCACGUUUACUUUGAACAAAUUUGAGUGCUCAAAGCAGGCCUACAGACGCCUGAAAACUGUGUGCAUGGAAUAAUGGAAUAGGACCUCUUUUCUAUUUUGUUGGCUUUUCUGAAACAGAGGUAAUGAUUAAUAGGGACAGACGGGGGCAUUCGUAUUGCGACGUUAGAGGUGAAAUUCUUGGAUCGUCGCAAGACGGACGGAUGCGAAAGCGUUUGCCAAGAAUGUUUUCGCUAAUCAAGAACGAAAGUUAGAGGUUCGAAGGCGAUCAGAUACCGCCCUAGUUCUAACCAUAAACGAUGCCAGCCAGCGAUGCGCCGAAGUUCCUCCGAUGACUCGGCGCGCAGCUUCCGGGAAACCAAAGCUUUUGGGUUCC
This 562-nucleotide ribosomal RNA is filed under the name Tricorythodes popayanicus. RNAcentral's name for it is "SSU rRNA". It matches the Rfam family "Eukaryotic small subunit ribosomal RNA", at positions 593 to 1115 of the family's 1831-position model. Lineage: Eukaryota; Metazoa; Arthropoda; Insecta; Ephemeroptera; Leptohyphidae. The record is from RNAcentral.